This 443-nucleotide ribosomal RNA is filed under the name uncultured bacterium. Its description in RNAcentral is "partial 16S ribosomal RNA". It matches the Rfam family "Bacterial small subunit ribosomal RNA", at positions 338 to 795 of the family's 1533-position model. The record is from RNAcentral.
CCUACGGGAGGCAGCAGUGGGGAAUAUUGGGCAAUGGGCGCAAGCCUGACCCAGCAACGCCGCGUGAAGGAAGAAGGCUUUCUGGUUGUAAACUUCUUUUCUCAGGGACGAAACAAGUGACGGUACCUGAGGAAUAAGCCACGGCUAACUACGUGCCAGCAGCCGCGUCAAUACGUAGGUGGCAAGCGUUAUCCGGAUUUACUGGGUGUAAAGGGCGUGUAGGCGGGGACGCAAGUCAGAUGUGAAAACCACGGGCUCAACCUGUGGCCUGCAUUUGAAACUGUGUUUCUUGAGUACUGGAGAGGCAGACGGAAUGCCUAGUGUAGCGGUGAAAUGCGUAGAUAUUAGGAGGAACACCAGUGGCGAAGGCGGUCUGCUGGACAGCAACUGACGCUGAGGCGCGAAAGCGUGGGGAGCAAACAGGAUUAGAUACCCCGGUAGUC